RNAcentral lists this ribosomal RNA (596 nucleotides) under uncultured bacterium. RNAcentral's name for it is "bacterial SSU rRNA". It matches the Rfam family "Bacterial small subunit ribosomal RNA", at positions 52 to 616 of the family's 1533-position model. The record is from RNAcentral.
CACAUGCAAGUCGAACGGUAACAGGCCGCUGGGAUCCCUUCGGGGUGACCUUGGCGCUGACGAGUGGCGGACGGGUGAGUAAUGCGUAGGAAUUUACCUCAAAGCGGGGGAUAGCCCGGAGAAAUCCGGAUUAAUACCGCAUGUGCUCUACGGAGGAAAGCGGGCCUCUUCUUGAAAGCUCGCACUUUGAGAUAAGCCUACGUCGGAUUAGCUUGUUGGUAGGGUAAAAGCCUACCAAGGCGACGAUCCGUAGCUGGUUUGAGAGGAUGAUCAGCCACACUGGGACUGAGACACGGCCCAGACUCCUACGGGAGGCAGCAGUGGGGAAUAUUGGACAAUGGGGCGCAAGCCUGAUCCAGCAAUGCCGCGUGUGUGAAGAAGGCCUGCGGCUUGUAAAGCACUUUUAUCAGGAAAGAAGAUCACAGGGUUAAUACCCCUGUGCCUUGACGGGUACUUGAUGAAUAAGCACCCGGCUAACUCCGUGCCAGCAGCACGCGGUAAUACGGCAGGAGUGCAAGCGUUAAUCGGAAUUACUGGGCGUAAAGCGAGUGUAGGCGGCUUCGUAAGUCGGAUGUGAAAGCCCUGGGCUUAACCUG